CUAUAUCCUCUGACGGGUCAUUGAUUGCUGCUGGAUUUUUAGAUUCAUCGCUGAAGAUUUGGGAUAUGGCAAAGCUUGGGCAAUAGGCUGUUGGUUGUGCACCAGUGGCUGUGAGGUUUGAUGGUGGCAGGGCUUGGAAUGGGGAGGUGUAGGCUCGAUGGUGGAUUUACUUUUGGCUGAUUAUGGCUGCUACUUGUGGUCUUUUCAUCAGUGAAGAAGCUUUAAAUAUCUGGGUCUGUCUUCUGUUCUGGUUGGCAUAUCUAUAGCAAGGAUGCUAACUUUGGAUGGGUCAUGGAAGUCUCUUGCUGAGUCCUUUUCUAGGAAUGCUGGAUACAUAACAUUGAUGAUUUUUUGGGUGUACUAGUUAGCUUCCUAAUUCAAUUAGUUAUUUUUAUUAAACAUGUUUGAUGAAGCUUUUCACUUGUAGCUCUUUAGCCAUUACCAUUUUAGGUGAUAUUCUUAUAUUGAAAAAUCAACUCGACACUGUAUAUCCUAAACGUGAUUGACAAAUAUGAGUGAUUGACACUGUAUAUCAAUCUGAUAUUCUUAUAAGUGAUUGACAAAUAUGAUCUAUAUGGUCAAGUUGCAUAUCCUAAAUGUCAUAAGCAAUCUGAUGUCCCUGAAAUUUAUCAUUUAGCAGCAAAAACAAAGGUACAUAUCAUAUGUGUGUGUGUGUCCCUGAAAUCUAUCACUUCUUUUAUCUAGGAGGUAUGUUUUUCAACCUGAUUUGAGUAUCUCUGUUUUGGUAGGGUGUUUUCAUAAAUCCAGCCUUCAUUGAGCCAUUUGGACUUACUUUAAUUGAGGUUAUUACUCUUGAGGAUGUAAUAAAGGGAAUUAAGAUCAUGAGGGAGACUUUGAUAUAUUUGUCACAUCUUGAUCACGAGGACACGGAAAAGCUGGUAUGUUGUUGGACAGUACCCGAGGUUUCUAACAGCUCACUAGAAGUUCCUAAAAACGGUUGUGAACAAAUUGUUUGAGUUCAUGCAUGAGACACAUCCUGGUGUUCAGCAGCACUAAAGGCCUCUCUGUGGCUUAUAUCUAGCUUUAAAGUUGGCUUUAAAGUUGGGGUUAGAACAAGGGCUAUAGACACCAACAGAGCAACAUCAUGAGGAGGUUUGCCUUGGAAACCUGAGGAGAUUUCAAUUUAGAGAGCUUCAGAUGGCAACAAACAGCUUCAGCAGCAAGUACUUGGUUGGAUGAUGAAUUGAAGGAUGGAGCAUGUUUCAUGCAUGAUUUACUUUUGUAUAUCUUGUAAUGUUUCUGUUUUUUAUUUUGAAAGUAAAAGAUGUUCAAGAUUAUGAAACUUUAUUAUGUUAUGCUUUCAAAUUUAAGUUAGAACUAAGAUCUCAUGAAGUAGACAUAUUCAUGGUUUGAAUUAGUUAUUGUUUAAUGUAAUACUUGUGGUUUAUCAAUCUAUUGAGAAUUACAUUUUAUGAUU
Molecule: long non-coding RNA, 1438 nt
Organism: Humulus lupulus (European hop)
Lineage: Eukaryota; Viridiplantae; Streptophyta; Magnoliopsida; Rosales; Cannabaceae
Exons: 10
Source: RefSeq, a predicted model, not a curated record